RNAcentral lists this ribosomal RNA (510 nucleotides) under uncultured bacterium. Its description in RNAcentral is "partial 16S ribosomal RNA". It matches the Rfam family "Bacterial small subunit ribosomal RNA", at positions 355 to 858 of the family's 1533-position model. The record is from RNAcentral.
UGGGGAAUUUUGGACAAUGGGCGCAAGCCUGAUCCAGCCAUGCCGCGUGCGGGAAGAAGGCCUUCGGGUUGUAAACCGCUUUUGUCAGGGAAGAAAUCUUCUGAGUUAAUACCUCGGGAGGAUGACGGUACCUGAAGAAUAAGCACCGGCUAACUACGUGUCAGCAGCCGCGGUAAUACGUAGGGUGCAAGCGUUAAUCGGAAUUACUGGGCGUAAAGCGUGCGCAGGCGGUUUUGUAAGACAGAGGUGAAAUCCCCGGGCUCAACCUGGGAACUGCCUUUGUGACUGCAAGGCUUGAGUGCGGCAGAGGGGGAUGGAAUUCCGCGUGUAGCAGUGAAAUGCGUAGAUAUGCGGAGGAACACCGAUGGCGAAGGCAAUCCCCUGGGCCUGCACUGACGCUCAUGCACGAAAGCGUGGGGAGCAAACAGGAUUAGAUACCCUGGUAGUCCACGCCCUAAACGAUGUCAACUGGUUGUUGGGAAGGUUCCUUCUCAGUAACGUAGCUAACGC